RNAcentral lists this ribosomal RNA (486 nucleotides) under Streptococcus mutans. RNAcentral's name for it is "bacterial SSU rRNA". It matches the Rfam family "Bacterial small subunit ribosomal RNA", at positions 28 to 487 of the family's 1533-position model. The record is from RNAcentral. Lineage: Bacteria; Bacillati; Bacillota; Bacilli; Lactobacillales; Streptococcaceae.
GACGAACGCUGGCGGCGUGCCUAAUACAUGCAAGUGGGACGCAAGGGAACACACUGUGCUUGCACACCGUGUUUUCUUGAGUCGCGAACGGGUGAGUAACGCGUAGGUAACCUGCCUAUUAGCGGGGGAUAACUAUUGGAAACGAUAGCUAAUACCGCAUAAUAUUAAUUAUUGCAUGAUAAUUGAUUGAAAGAUGCAAGCGCAUCACUAGUAGAUGGACCUGCGUUGUAUUAGCUAGUUGGUAAGGUAAGAGCUUACCAAGGCGACGAUACAUAGCCGACCUGAGAGGGUGAUCGGCCACACUGGGACUGAGACACGGCCCAGACUCCUACGGGAGGCAGCAGUAGGGAAUCUUCGGCAAUGGACGAAAGUCUGACCGAGCAACGCCGCGUGAGUGAAGAAGGUUUUCGGAUCGUAAAGCUCUGUUGUAAGUCAAGAACGUGUGUGAGAGUGGAAAAGUUCACACAGUGACGGUAGCUACCCAGA